UACGUAGGUGGCGAGCGUUGUCCGGAUUUACUGGGCGUAAAGAGCGCGCAGGCGGUCGUUCAAGUCGCGUGUGAAAGCCCCCGGCUCAACUGGGGAGGGUCACGCGAUACUGAUCGACUCGAAGGCAGGAGAGGGUAGUGGAAUUCCCGGUGUAGUGGUGAAAUGCGUAGAUAUCGGGAGGAACACCAGUGGCGAAGGCGACUACCUGGCCUGUUCUUGACGCUGAGGCGCGAAAGCUAGGGGAGCGAACAGG
RNAcentral lists this ribosomal RNA (253 nucleotides) under uncultured bacterium. RNAcentral's name for it is "partial 16S ribosomal RNA". It matches the Rfam family "Bacterial small subunit ribosomal RNA", at positions 524 to 776 of the family's 1533-position model. The record is from RNAcentral.